AAGCUCGUAGUUGAAUUUCGGGUUCGGUCGUGUGGUCUUUUCUUUUGAAUUGUACUGCUUCGACCGAACCUUUCCUUCUGGCAAACUAUCGUGCUAUUUAUUUAGUGCGAUAGGGAACCAGGACUUUUACUUUGGAAAAAUUAGAGAGUUUAAAGCAGGCUUACGCUUGAAUACAUUAGCAUGGAAUAAUAAAAUAGGACUUUGGUUUUAUUUUGUUGGUUUUCAAGACCGAAGUAAUGAUUAAUAGGGAUAGUUGGG
RNAcentral lists this ribosomal RNA (258 nucleotides) under uncultured Chytridiomycota. RNAcentral's name for it is "partial 18S ribosomal RNA". It matches the Rfam family "Eukaryotic small subunit ribosomal RNA", at positions 624 to 886 of the family's 1831-position model. The record is from RNAcentral. Lineage: Eukaryota; Fungi; Chytridiomycota.